UACGUAGGUGGCAAGCGUUAUCCGGAAUCAUUGGGCGUAAAGAGCGCGCAGGUGGUUGAUUAAGUCUGAUGUGAAAGCCCACGGCUUAACCGUGGAGGGUCAUUGGAAACUGGUCGACUUGAGUGCAGAAGAGGGAAGUGGAAUUCCAUGUGUAGCGGUGAAAUGCGUAGAGAUAUGGAGGAACACCAGUGGCGAAGGCGGCUUCCUGGUCUGUAACUGACACUGAGGCGCGAAAGCGUGGGGAGCAAACAGGAUUAGA
Molecule: ribosomal RNA, 259 nt
Filed under: uncultured prokaryote
Description: partial 16S ribosomal RNA
Rfam family: Bacterial small subunit ribosomal RNA
Source: RNAcentral